This 442-nucleotide ribosomal RNA is filed under the name uncultured bacterium. Its description in RNAcentral is "bacterial SSU rRNA". It matches the Rfam family "Bacterial small subunit ribosomal RNA", at positions 30 to 490 of the family's 1533-position model. The record is from RNAcentral.
AUUGAACGCUGGCGGCAGGCCUAACACAUGCAAGUCGAACGGCAGCACGGGAGCAAUCCUGGUGGCGAGUGGCGAACGGGUGAGUAAUAUAUCGGAACGUGCCCAGUCGUGGGGAUAACGUAGCGAAAGCUACGCUAAUACCGCAUACGAUCUAUGGAUGAAAGCGGGGGAUCGCAAGACCUCGCGCGAUUGGAGCGGCCGAUAUCAGAUUAGGUAGUUGGUGAGGUAAAGGCUCACCAAGCCGACGUAUCUGUAGCUGGUCUGAGAGGACGACCAGCCACACUGGGACUGAGACACGGCCCAGACUCCUACGGGAGGCAGCAGUGGGAAUUUUGGACAAUGGGCGCAAGCCUGAUCCAGCAAUGCCGCGUGAGUGAUGAAGGCCUUAGGGUUGUAAAGCUCUUUUUACCCGGGAUGAUAAUGACAGUACCGGGAGAAUAAG